UCUGGGACAAGCCCUGGAAACGGGGUCUAAUACCGGAUACGACACACGACCGCAUGGUCUGUGUGUGGAAAGCUCCGGCGGUGAAGGAUGAGCCCGCGGCCUAUCAGCUUGUUGGUGGGGUGAUGGCCUACCAAGGCGACGACGGGUAGCCGGCCUGAGAGGGCGACCGGCCACACUGGGACUGAGACACGGCCCAGACUCCUACGGGAGGCAGCAGUGGGGAAUAUUGCACAAUGGGCGAAAGCCUGAUGCAGCGACGCCGCGUGAGGGAUGACGGCCUUCGGGUUGUAAACCUCUUUCAGCAGGGAAGAAGCGAGAGUGACGGUACCUGCAGAAGAAGCGCCGGCUAACUACGUGCCAGCAGCCGCGGUAAUACGUAGGGCGCAAGCGUUGUCCGGAAUUAUUGGGCGUAAAGAGCUCGUAGGCGGCUUGUCACGUCGGAUGUGAAAGCCCGGGGCUUAACCCCGGGUCUGCAUUCGAUACGGGCAGGCUAGAGUUCGGUAGGGGAGAUCGGAAUUCCUGGUGUAGCGGUGAAAUGCGCAGAUAUCAGGAGGAACACCGGUGGCGAAGGCGGAUCUCUGGGCCGAUACUGACGCUGAGGAGCGAAAGCGUGGGGAGCGAACAGGAUUAGAUACCCUGGUAGUCCACGCCGUAAACGUUGGGAACUAGGUGUGGGCGACAUUCCACGUCGUCCGUGCCGCAGCUAACGCAUUAAGUUCCCCGCCUGG
This 728-nucleotide ribosomal RNA is filed under the name Streptomyces sp. RNAcentral's name for it is "bacterial SSU rRNA". It matches the Rfam family "Bacterial small subunit ribosomal RNA", at positions 137 to 876 of the family's 1533-position model. The record is from RNAcentral. Lineage: Bacteria; Bacillati; Actinomycetota; Actinomycetes; Kitasatosporales; Streptomycetaceae.